Long non-coding RNA from Dicentrarchus labrax (European seabass), 890 nucleotides. RefSeq lists it as uncharacterized. The record is from RefSeq and is a predicted model, not a curated record. The transcript is spliced from 6 exons. Lineage: Eukaryota; Metazoa; Chordata; Actinopteri; Moronidae.
CAGAGAUAGCUGGAAGACAUUUCUAUUCAAACUGACAACAACUGAGAACCUUUUAAACACAAAGUCUGUAGGUGUUUUUAAGCCCUAUCUUUAGUCUGUAGGUGUUUUUAAGCCCUAACUUUAGUCUGUAGGUGUUUUUAAGCCCUAUCUUUAGUCUGUAGGUGUUUUUAAGCCCUAUCUUUGGUCUGUAGGUGUUUUUAAGCCCUAACUUUAGUCUGUAGGUGUUUUUAAGCCCUAACUUUAGUCUGUAGGUGUUUUUAAGCCCUAUCUUUAGUCUGUAGGUGUUUUUAAGCCCUAACUUUAGUCUGUAGGUGUUUUUAAGCCCUAUCUUUAGUCUGUAGGUGUUUUUAAGCCCUAUCUUUAGUCUGUAGGUGUUUUUAAGCCCUAACUUUAGUCUGUAGGUGUUUUUAAGCCCUAUCUUUAGUCUGUAGGUGUUUUUAAGCCCUAACUUUAGUCUGUAGGUGUUUUUAAGCCCUAUCUUUAGUCUGUAGGUGUUUUUAAGCCCUAACUUUAGUCUGUAGGUGUUUUUAAGCCCUAACUUUAGUCUGUAGGUGUUUUUCAGCCCUAUCUUUAGUCUGUAGGUGUUUUUAAGCCCUAUCUUUAGUCUGUAGGUGUUUUUAAGCCCUAACUUUAGUCUGUAGGUGUUUUUAAGCCCUAUCUUUAGUCUGUAGGUGUUUUUAAGCCCUAUCUUUAGUCUGUAGGUGUUUUUAAGCCCUAACUUUGGUCUGCAGGUUUUAAAGCCCUAACUUUAGUCUGUAGGUGUUUUUAAGCCCUAACUUUGGUCUGCAGGUUUUAAAGCCCUUACGUUUGGCUUUGGUUCGGUGGUUUUCACAUGUUCAGCUAUGGCAUAUGGCUGGGAUGUUUAGGUGUACCCAUGUAGUGUAAAGUUG